RNAcentral lists this ribosomal RNA (253 nucleotides) under uncultured bacterium. RNAcentral describes it as "partial 16S ribosomal RNA". It matches the Rfam family "Bacterial small subunit ribosomal RNA", at positions 524 to 776 of the family's 1533-position model. The record is from RNAcentral.
UACAGAGGUCCUAAGCGUUGUUCGGAUUCACUGGGCGUAAAGGGUGCGUAGGCGGUCGGGUAAGUCUGAUGUGAAAUCUCACAGCUUAACUGUGAAACUGCAUUGGAUACUAUCCGGCUCGAGGAAUGGAGGGGAGACUGGAAUACUUGGUGUAGCAGUGAAAUGCGUAGAUAUCAAGUGGAACACCAGUGGCGAAGGCGAGUCUCUGGACAUUUCCUGACGCUGAGGCACGAAAGCCAGGGGAGCAAACGGG